UUCUCUUUGCGGGCUUCUGAAAAAAUGAGGCCGGCUCCCCUGAAAUGCAUUAGUGGUAUCUGAGCAGAGACUACUUACAGGUGUGAUAAAUUAUCUAUCUAUGCCUCGGUAUGCUGCAUGAAACAGAUUGCACCGCUUAUAACCAGUGGAAAUUUGACAAGUUUGACCUCAAAUCAGGUAGGACUACCCGCUGAACUUAA
Molecule: unclassified non-coding RNA, 200 nt
Filed under: soil metagenome
Description: partial contains internal transcribed spacer 2 and large subunit ribosomal RNA
Source: RNAcentral